GGCCCUAUCGUCUAAUGGUUAGGACACUAGGUUUUCAUCCUAGUAAUCGGGGUUCGAUCCCCCGUGGGGUCA
Non-coding RNA from Microgenomates group bacterium, 72 nucleotides. The record is from Rfam.